RNAcentral lists this unclassified non-coding RNA (245 nucleotides) under uncultured fungus. RNAcentral's name for it is "sequence contains ITS1". Lineage: Eukaryota; Fungi. The record is from RNAcentral.
UUAACUAUUAUAUAGUACUCAGACGUCAAAGAUAGUAGAGUUUUUGGCCUCUGGCGGGCGCUGUCAGCCGGGGCCAACGCCAGAAGAGGCGGCCCGCCAAAGCAACAAAGUUUUAUAUUCAAGGGUUUUCAGACAGCCCCAUCCGUUUGCGGCAUCUCUGCGACAAAAAGACGAGACCCGACGUGGAUAUGCCCUUACGGGUACCACAUAGUUUAAUGAUCCUUCCGCAGGUUCACCUACGGAAA